UUACGGCCAUAUCACAUUGAAACUCCGAUUCUCGUACGAUCACGGAAGUUAAGUAACGUCAAGCCUGGCCAGGACCUAGAUGGGUGAUCGCUUUGGAAAUACCAGGUACUGUAA
This is a non-coding RNA of Acanthosepion pharaonis, 114 nucleotides long. Lineage: Eukaryota; Metazoa; Mollusca; Cephalopoda; Sepiida; Sepiidae. The record is from the annotation of a GenBank genome assembly.